CAGGUGGUGCAUGGUUGUCGUCAGCUCGUGUCGUGAGAUGUUGGGUUAAGUCCCGCAACGAGCGCAACCCUUAUCUUCAGUAGCCAGCAGGUAAAGCCGGGCACUCUGGAGAGACUGCCGGGGAUAACCCGGAGGAAGGUGGGGAUGACGUCAAAUCAUCAUGCCCCUUAUGAUUUGGGCUACACACGUGCUACAAUGGCGUGAACAGAGGGAAGCGAGCCCGCGAGGGGGAGCAAAUCCCAAAAAUAACGUCCCAGUUCGGAUUGUAGUCUGCAACCCGACUACAUGAAGCUGGAAUCGCUAGUAAUCGCGGAUCAGAAUGCCGCGGUGAAUACGUUCCCGGGUCUUGUACACACCGCCCGUCACACCAUGGGAGUCGGAAAUGCCCGAAGUCUGUGACCUAACCGCAAGGGAGGAGCAGCCGAAGGCAGGUCGGAUGACUGGGGUGAAGUCGUAACAAGGUAGCCGUAUCGGAAGGUGCGGCUGGAUCACCUC
This 495-nucleotide ribosomal RNA is filed under the name uncultured bacterium. Its description in RNAcentral is "bacterial SSU rRNA". It matches the Rfam family "Bacterial small subunit ribosomal RNA", at positions 1035 to 1529 of the family's 1533-position model. The record is from RNAcentral.